AGAGUUUGAUCCUGGCUCAGGACGAACGCUGGCGGCGUGCUUAACACAUGCAAGUCGAACGAGGUGCUUGCACCUAGUGGCGAACGGGUGAGUAACACGUGAGCAACCUGCCCUUGGCUCUGGGAUAGCCUCCGGAAACGGGGAUUAAUACCGGACAUGACCCUGGAUUGCAUGAUCUAGGGUGGAAAGUUUUUCGGCCA
Molecule: ribosomal RNA, 200 nt
Filed under: uncultured bacterium
Lineage: Bacteria
Description: partial 16S ribosomal RNA
Rfam family: Bacterial small subunit ribosomal RNA
Source: RNAcentral